AACGAACGUUGGCGGCGUGGAUGAGGCAUGCAAGUCGAACGCGAAAGCCGCAAGGCGAGUAAAGUGGCGGACGGGCGAGUAACACGUAAUCAAGCUACCUGCGAGACGGGGAUAACUUCGGGAAACCGAAGCUAAGACCCGAUGGUCUUCUAGGAACGCAUGUUCCAUGAAGUAAAUGGGCGGGAUCCUCCGGGAUCGCCUGCUCGCAGAGGUGAUUGCGGCCCAUCAGCUAGUUGGUAGGGUAAUGGCCUACCAAGGCAACGACGGGUAGCCGGCCUUAGAGGGUGGUCGGCCGCACUGGGACUGAGACACUGCCCAGACUCCUACGGGAGGCUGCAGUCGAGAAUAUUCCCCAAUGGCCGAAAGGCUGAGGGAGCGACGCCGCGUGCAGGAAUAAGGCC
Molecule: ribosomal RNA, 401 nt
Filed under: uncultured bacterium
Lineage: Bacteria
Description: bacterial SSU rRNA
Rfam family: Bacterial small subunit ribosomal RNA
Source: RNAcentral